GGAGUGUCUGAUGCCUCUAGGGAUGUAGAUUCUAAGGAAACUCAUGAUCGUGUGCAAGAAGGUGAAAACAAGGUUUUCUCGGCUUUUGGGUAUUUUCAUAAAAUAGCCACCUUUGAAAAGGUUGCAGGUUUUCAGGCAUUGAUCUAGUACACUGAUGCGGCUACUGCUUCAGCUGCUAGAGAAUCCUUAGAUGGAAGGAGCAUCCCAAGUUACUUGCUUCUGGAGCAUGUAACAUCCUGCUGUCUGUGAAUUUCUUUUUCUGCACAUAAGGAUUUGAACAUCAAGUUUCAGUCGAACCACAGCAGUGGAAAUUUGCUCAUGUUGCAUUCAGUAAGCCAGAAUACCUCCAAGAUUCAGAUAUUGUAAUGAACAGAUUCCAUGUGAGAUACGUUUUCCUUUUGGCGAAAGAAUCCUUUCGCAAGAACAUUCAUUGUAACAUUGAAGGUUGGGAACAACACCUUGGAUUAGAGCAUACAGCCACUACCCCAAAAAUGUCCUACUUAGGCAACAACCAGAGCAAUUACAAAACCACCAUUCUUUUGAGAAGCCUAAGAGGAUUUACAACUAAAGCUGGGAAUACUUUUUACAUGUGAUGAAUGAUGAACAGGAUAUGAAGGCAGCCUUGUUCUAAAAGCAGUCUUUUGGUGAUGUACAUGGAGCUUUUGCAUAGAGUAGUUUAUGUGGCAGUUAUCUCAAGAAUUUUCAUCUGGUGGAUGUACAGGGUUCGUAUAUCAACAUUUCCUUGUAGAAAGUUGAAGCUGUAUAUCGAGGGUGGAUUUACCUGUGUUUAUCUUUUCGACCCCAAGCCUCUAGGAAGCUGUGAACCAUAGCCUCAUGAAAUAUGCCUGCUGUUGAUUCAGUGUUUGUGUUUUUCUUGUUUGUCAUUAUUGUGCACUCGCUUUUAAUAUAACACACAUUUUG
Zea mays is the source of this 921-nucleotide long non-coding RNA. RefSeq lists it as uncharacterized. NCBI's taxonomy places the organism in Eukaryota, Viridiplantae, Streptophyta, Magnoliopsida, Poales, Poaceae. The transcript has 7 exons. The record is from RefSeq and is a predicted model, not a curated record.